RNAcentral lists this ribosomal RNA (363 nucleotides) under Jalapyphantes puebla. RNAcentral's name for it is "partial large subunit ribosomal RNA". Lineage: Eukaryota; Metazoa; Arthropoda; Arachnida; Araneae; Linyphiidae. The record is from RNAcentral.
UUAGCCUUUUAAUUAAAGGCUUGUAUGAAUGACUUAACAUUUUAAUUUCUUUUUUUCUUAAAAAUUUUUAAAUUUAAUUAAGUAUAAAAAUGUACUUAUAUAUAAUUUAGACGACAAGACCCUAUUAAACUUCACUUUAGUUUAGCUGGGGCAGCUAAUUAAAUACUAUUUUAAUUUUUAUCAAAAUAAAAAUUGCCAGUAAAAUUGAUCAUAAUAAGUUACUAUAGGGAUAACAGCGUGAUAUUUUUUAAAAGCUCUUAUUUAAAAAAAAAGAUUACGACCUCGAUGUUGAAUUAAUACUCUUUUAGGUGCAAUCACCUCUAAAGAUAGUCUGUUCGACUAUUAAAUAAUUACAUGAUCUGA